CCUUCCCAGCGGGGGCGGGGCGGCCAGGCUGGCCCAGCGUCGCCGCGGUCCCGGGGGCGCCGGGGGGCUCCGGCCCUUGGGCUCAGCCUGCCGCUGGCCCAUUGUGCGACGCCGGCCUCUGAUUGGCUGGACGCGGGGCUCGGCGCCCCCACCCCAACCCCGCGGCUCCGCGCGGCACCCGCCCGGCACGGGGGUCCCGGGGUGCACCCCAGCGCUCUGGGCCGCGCCGCUCCCUGGGGCAGAGGACACCGGCGGGCUCCGGGGCGGAGCGCUCCCUCCCUGGACACCGGGGUGGCUCCCGGGGCAGAGCGGGCUCCCUGGACACCGGGGUGGCUCCCGGGGCAGAGCACUCCCUCUCUGGACACCCGGGUGGCCUCCGGGGCGGAGCUCCCUCUCCCUGGACACCGGGGUGGCCUCCGGGGCAGAGCGGGCUCCCUGGACACCGGGGUGGCCCCCGGGGCAGAGCGGGCUCCCUGGACACCGGGGUGGCCCCCAGGGCAGAGCACUCCCUCUCUGGACACCCGGGUGGCCUCCGGGGCGGAGCUCCCUCUCCCUGGACACCGGGGUGGCCCCCGGGGCAGAGCGGGCUCCCUGGACACCGGGGUGGCCCCCGGGGCAGAGCGGGCUCCCUGGACACCGGGGUGGCCCCUGGGGCAGAGCGGGCUCCCUGGACACCGGGGUGGCCCCCGGGGCAGAGCGGGCUCCCUGGACACCGGGGUGGCCCCCAGGGCAGAGCGGGCUCCCUGGACACCGGGGUGGCCCCCGGGGCAGAGCGGGCUCCCUGGACACCGGGGUGGCCCCCGGGGCAGAGCGGGCUCCCUGGACACCGGGGUGGCCCCCGGGGCAGAGCGGGCUCCCUGGACACCGGGGUGGCCCCUGGGGCAGAGCGGGCUCCCUGGACACCGGGGUGGCCCCUGGGGCAGAGCGGGCUCCCUGGACACCCGGGUGGCCCCUGGGGAAGAGCACUCCCUCUCUGGACGCAGGGGUGGCCCCUGGGGCAGAGCAGGCUCCCUGGACACCGGGGUGGCCCCCGGGGCAGAGCGGGCUCCCUGGACACCGGGGCGGCCUCCGGGGCAGAGCGGGCUCCCUGGACACCGGGGUGGCCUCCGGGGCAGAGCACUCCCUCUCUGGACGCCGGGGUGGCCACAGGAGCCAGGGAAGCAGCCCUGCCCGAGGACGCACCCUGGGCGCACGGUGCCGCAGGGAUGCCAGCCAUCCACCAGGAGCAGUCUGCUGGGUGCCCAGCACUCGCUCUCAUUAGCAAGCCUUGCUUGAAAGGCACGAUGCCCCUAGGUUCAUCCGUGUUACAGCAUGUGUCAGGCUCUCUUCAGUAUUUCAUCCUUUAUCCGCUCAUUUGUCAGUGGAUCCUUGGGUUGCAGCCACCCCUUGGCUAUUGUGAAUAA
Molecule: long non-coding RNA, 1403 nt
Filed under: Vulpes vulpes (red fox)
Lineage: Eukaryota; Metazoa; Chordata; Mammalia; Carnivora; Canidae
Description: lncRNA (ENSVVUG00000000409.1)
Source: RNAcentral